AGUGAACGCUGGCGGCAGGCCUAACACAUGCAAGUCGAACGGCAGCACAGUAUGAGCUUGCUCCUACGGGUGGCGAGUGGCGGACUGGUUCGGAAUACAUCGGAAUCUACUUUUUCGUGGGGGGUAACGUAGGGUAACUUACGCUAAUACCGCAUACGGACUACGGGUGAAAGCAGGGGAUCUUCGGAACUUGCGCGAUUGAAUGAGCCGAUGUCGGAGUAGCUAGUUGGCGGGGUAAAGGCGCCCCAAGGGGACGAUCCGUAGCUGUUCGGAGGGGACGAUCGGCAACACGGGAACUGGGACACGGCCCAGACUCCAAGGGAAGGCAGCGGGGGGAAAUAUGGGACAAGGGGCGCAAGCCUGAUCCAGCCAGACCGCGGGGGUGAAGAAGGCCUUCGGGUGGUAAAGCCCUUUUGUUGGGAAAGAAAGGCAGCAGGUUAAAACCCCGCUGUUCUGACGGUACCCAAAGAAUAAGCACCGGCUAACAUGUU
This 491-nucleotide ribosomal RNA is filed under the name uncultured bacterium. Its description in RNAcentral is "partial 16S ribosomal RNA". It matches the Rfam family "Bacterial small subunit ribosomal RNA", at positions 29 to 506 of the family's 1533-position model. The record is from RNAcentral.